Molecule: long non-coding RNA, 203 nt
Filed under: Capsella rubella
Lineage: Eukaryota; Viridiplantae; Streptophyta; Magnoliopsida; Brassicales; Brassicaceae
Description: long non-coding RNA (CRUB_LNC004945)
Source: RNAcentral
CAACCUCCUUUUUUUUUUUUUUUUUUUUUGGUCGGCCCAACCUGCUUCAUCCUCACAUUAUUAUCAUCUGGAAAAAAAAAUCAACUUACCCUUAUUGGACCAAUGUUUCAGUCAUCUGGGCAUACGUGAGGCUCCCAAGGCCCAAGUCCAACUAAAAGACAUCUAAAUGCAUAAUAUUAUUUUGGUUUCGUCGAAGACGCAAG